ACGUGGGUAAUCUGCCUUUUGGGGGGGAAUAACUGUCCGAAAGGAUAGCUAAUACCGCAUACGUCGGCGAGGUUUGCGGACCUUGCCGGGAAAGCCGGCCUCUCCAUGGAAGCUGGCGCAGAAAGAGGAGCCCGCGGCCCAUCAGCUAGUUGGUAGGGUAACGGCCUACCAAGGCUAAGACGGGUAGCUGGUCUGAGAGGAUGAUCAGCCACACUGGGACUGAGACACGGCCCAGACUCCUACGGGAGGCAGCAGUGGGGAAUAUUGGGCAAUGGGCGCAAGCCUGACCCAGCCACGCCG
Molecule: ribosomal RNA, 300 nt
Filed under: uncultured Myxococcales bacterium
Lineage: Bacteria; Pseudomonadati; Myxococcota; Myxococcia; Myxococcales
Description: bacterial SSU rRNA
Rfam family: Bacterial small subunit ribosomal RNA
Source: RNAcentral